AUUGAACGCUGGCGGCAGGCCUAACACAUGCAAGUCGAGCGGAUGAGUGGAGCUUGCUCCAUGAUUCAGCGGCGGACGGGUGAGUAAUGCCUAGGAAUCUGCCUGGUAGUGGGGGACAACGUUUCGAAAGGAACGCUAAUACCGCAUACGUCCUACGGGAGAAAGCAGGGGACCUUCGGGCCUUGCGCUAUCAGAUGAGCCUAGGUCGGAUUAGCUAGUUGGUGAGGUAACGGCUCACCAAGGCGACGAUCCGUAACUGGUCUGAGAGGAUGAUCAGUCACACUGGAACUGAGACACGGUCCAGACUCCUACGGGAGGCAGCAGUGGGGAAUAUUGGACAAUGGGCGAAAGCCUGAUCCAGCCAUGCCGCGUGUGUGAAGAAGGUCUUCGGAUUGUAAAGCACUUUAAGUUGGGAGGAAGGGCAGUAAGUUAAUACCUUGCUGUUUUGACGUUACCGACAGAAUAAGCACCGGCUAACUUCGUGCCAGCAGCCGCGGUAA
This 500-nucleotide ribosomal RNA is filed under the name uncultured bacterium. RNAcentral describes it as "partial 16S ribosomal RNA". It matches the Rfam family "Bacterial small subunit ribosomal RNA", at positions 30 to 523 of the family's 1533-position model. The record is from RNAcentral.